RNAcentral lists this long non-coding RNA (678 nucleotides) under Helianthus annuus (common sunflower). Its description in RNAcentral is "hypothetical non coding rna". Lineage: Eukaryota; Viridiplantae; Streptophyta; Magnoliopsida; Asterales; Asteraceae. The record is from RNAcentral.
UACUGAAAGUCCCGCUCUCUUUCUUCUCUCUCUCUCUCUCUCUCUCUCUAACAUAACCUGUCACCACACUCCACCAUAGUUAACACAUCACCGCCACCAUAAGCAACCGUUCACCGUCACCACCCCCAAAUCACCAACCACCACUGCACGGACACACCACCGCCAUAGCCCCACCGUCACCACCCCCAAAUCACCAACCACCAACACACCACCGCCAUAGCCCCACCUACACAGCACUGCCAUAGCCCACCGUCACCACCCCUAAAUCACCAACCACCACUAUGAUCGGAGACGGCGACACAGGUCUGUGAUCGGAGACGGCGAAACAGGACUAGGAUAGGAGAUGACAAAACAGAUCUGAGAUCGGAGACGACGGAUGGUACGGCGGUGGCGUAGUUGUCGCAGGUCUGAGAUCGGAAAUGUUUGUAGAUGAUCAAGAGUGUGGAUUUUCUGGGUUGGUCCAUUCAUUGGAGCUGCACUUACUGCUAUUUACCAUCAAAUAGUCAUUAGGGCCAUCCCUUUCAAGAGCAGAUCUUAAACUCAAAUGUUGAAAGAGUUAUGUGAAUUGUGUGUGUAAAUUAUUGUCCUAAAAUGGAUGCUAUUUGUAUUUAAGCUUUUCAUGUUGGUUUAUCAACUCUUUUUUAUGGAAUGAAGAACUCUUGAUUGAGAACUGGUUCU